GUGUCAGCCGCCGCGGUAAUACGAGUGGUGCUAGCGUUAUUCGGAAUCAUUGGGCGUAAAGGGCGCGUAGACGGCGUGUUAAGUUUGCUGUUAAAUCCUUCGGCUCAACUGAAGAUCAGCGGUGAAUACUGGCAUGCUAGAGGGUGGAAGAGAGAAGUGGAAUUCUCGGAGUAGCGGUAAAAUGCGUAGAUCUCGAGAGGAACACCAAUGGCGAAGGCAGCUUCUUGGUCCAUUCCUGACGUUGAGGCGCGAAAGCGUGGGGAGCAAACAGGAUUAGAUACCCCGGUAGUCC
This 292-nucleotide ribosomal RNA is filed under the name uncultured bacterium. Its description in RNAcentral is "partial 16S ribosomal RNA". It matches the Rfam family "Bacterial small subunit ribosomal RNA", at positions 505 to 796 of the family's 1533-position model. The record is from RNAcentral.